CCUACGGGUGGCAGCAGUGAGGAAUAUUGGUCAAUGGGAGAGAUCCUGAACCAGCCAAGUAGCGUGCGGGAUGACGGCCCUACGGGUUGUAAACCUCUUUUGUAGGGGAAUAAAACCCCGUACGUGUAGCGCUUUGCGUGUACCCUAUGAAAAAGCAUCGGCUAAUUCCGUGCCAGCAGCCGCGGUAAUACGGAGGGUGCGGGCGUUAUCCGGAUUUAUUGGGGUUAAAGGGUGCGUAGGCCGCACGUUAAGCGUGCGGUGAAAUGUGCGGGCUCAACCCGGGCCGAGCCGUGGGAACUGGCGUGCUUGAGUUCGCGGAAAGCAGGCGGAAUUCGUGGUGUAGCGGUGAAAUGCUUAGAUAUGGCGCAGAACUCCGAUUGCGAAGGCAGCGUGCUGGAGCCGGACUGACGCUGAGGCACGAAAGCGUGGGUAUCGAACAGGAUUAGAUACCCUAGUAGUC
This 460-nucleotide ribosomal RNA is filed under the name uncultured bacterium. Its description in RNAcentral is "partial 16S ribosomal RNA". It matches the Rfam family "Bacterial small subunit ribosomal RNA", at positions 338 to 795 of the family's 1533-position model. The record is from RNAcentral.